CUAGUAAUCACAAAUAAAACAAUGGGUGAGAUCUAUAAAGCGCACUCAGACUUUGCUUAAACUUAAGACAAAGUUAAAACGAGACAGAUAUACCUAUAUCUCUGACAUAAAUCUCUCUCGUUUUAACUCAAUCUUAAGUCUAAGCAAAGUCAAAGUGCGCUCUAUAAAUCUCACCC
Long non-coding RNA from Maniola jurtina (meadow brown), 176 nucleotides. RefSeq lists it as uncharacterized. The record is from RefSeq and is a predicted model, not a curated record. The transcript has 3 exons. NCBI's taxonomy places the organism in Eukaryota, Metazoa, Arthropoda, Insecta, Lepidoptera, Nymphalidae.